CUAUGGAUGAAAAGUAUCAUUUGGGAUCUGCUGAAGAAGCAAUUCAAGAAAUCCAGCGCAAGAACAACAGUGGACUAAGUUUUGAAGAACUGUAUCAAAAUGCAUAUACCAUGGUGCUCCACAAACAUGGAGAGGAGCUGUACACGGGGCUUAGAGAAAUAGUGGAGGAGCAUCUCAUAAAUAAGGAACAAAUUGGAUGCUAGACAAGGAGGAAAGUACCGAGAUGGCCAAAAAAAUGAAAUUCGGAAUAAUAGAAGCAAUUCCAUUAAUCGUCCUCCUGGUGUUCCUGAUAGGAUUUGCGAUCAUCAUCUACUGCACCUUUUGCCGCAAAAAUCCACAGACGUGACACCAUUCCUGCCCUGCUCAGGCUACAGGCUCCUGCCUACCCUGCCGUGCAGCCGUCCCGCCCUCCGCGGUUCUAUCUGCGAUCUAUUGAUUUAAGUCUCAUAUGACCGAAACAUCUGAAACAUCGCAACUCUCCACAUGACUCACGGCACAACAUCAUUUUCAUUAAGACGGAGCAAUUAACGCCCGACUGGGGCAGUAUCUUUAAUUUUAAUUUUAAUUUUACCAGCAGAAUCAUUUACUUGCCGAUUACUGCAUAUGUUGCUGGCCCCUACUUCCCAGUUUGAAGUGUAGGA
Molecule: RNA transcript, 641 nt
Organism: Bufo gargarizans (Asiatic toad)
Lineage: Eukaryota; Metazoa; Chordata; Amphibia; Anura; Bufonidae
Gene name: cullin-3-B-like
Exons: 3
Source: RefSeq, a predicted model, not a curated record